Molecule: ribosomal RNA, 535 nt
Filed under: Salmonella enterica subsp. enterica serovar Muenchen
Lineage: Bacteria; Pseudomonadati; Pseudomonadota; Gammaproteobacteria; Enterobacterales; Enterobacteriaceae
Also listed under: 1 other name
Description: partial 23S ribosomal RNA
Rfam family: Bacterial large subunit ribosomal RNA
Source: RNAcentral
GGGUUGUGAGGUUAAGCGACUAAGCGUACACGGUGGAUGCCCUGGCAGUCAGAGGCGAUGAAGGGCGUGCUAAUCUGCGAUAAGCGCCGGUAAGGUGAUAUGAACCGUUAUAACCGGCGAUACCCGAAUGGGGAAACCCAGUGUGACUCGUCACACUAUCAUUAACUGAAUCCAUAGGUUAAUGAGGCGAACCGGGGGAACUGAAACAUCUAAGUACCCCGAGGAAAAGAAAUCAACCGAGAUUCCCCCAGUAGCGGCGAGCGAACGGGGAGGAGCCCAGAGCCUGAAUCAGCAUGUGUGUUAGUGGAAGCGUCUGGAAAGGCGCGCGAUACAGGGUGACAGCCCCGUACACAAAAGCGCAUGUGCUGUGAGCUCGAUGAGUAGGGCGGGACACGUGGUAUCCUGUCUGAAUAUGGGGGGACCAUCCUCCAAGGCUAAAUACUCCUGACUGACCGAUAGUGAACCAGUACCGUGAGGGAAAGGCGAAAAGAACCCCGGCGAGGGGAGUGAAAAAGAACCUGAAACCGUGUACGUA